Molecule: long non-coding RNA, 1800 nt
Organism: Leptidea sinapis
Lineage: Eukaryota; Metazoa; Arthropoda; Insecta; Lepidoptera; Pieridae
Exons: 3
Source: RefSeq, a predicted model, not a curated record
GCAUGUGUGCGAUUCAUUGAGUUAUGAAUUCAAACAGACAAAACUGAAAGGCGCAACGAAAGUGAAGGCGCGCGCUUGUCGCGCGCUCAGGGAGGAUGGAGCGUCGGUCGUCAAAAAUCGAUCUCUCGCACGUCCGAGGCGUCUCGUUUCCAAUCAUCGAAUGAGGGCGCGCUCUGAGCACAGAUGCUGGGACCCGAAAGAUGGUGAACUAUGCCUGGUCAGGUCGAAGUCAGGGGAAACCCUGAGGGAGGACCGUAGCGAUUCUGAUGUGCAAAUCGAUCGUCGGAACUGGGUAUAGGGGCGAAAGACUAAUCGAACCAUCUAGUAGCUGGUUCCGUCCGAAGUUUCCCUCAGGAUAGCUGGCGUCGACUCGUAACAGUCUCAUCCGGUAAAGCGAAUGAUUAGAGGCAUUGGGGCCGAAACGACCUCAACCUAUUCUCGAACUUUAAAUGGGUGAGAACUCCGGCUUACUCGAACGAUGAAGCCGGAGAUCUGAUGACGGUGCUAAGUGGGCCAAUUUUGGUAAGCAGAACUGGCGCUGUGGGAUGAACCAAACGUAGUGUGAAGGGGCCUAAAAAACGCUCAUGGGACACCAUGAAAGGCGUUGGUCGCUCAUGACAGCAGGACGGUGGCCAUGGAAGUCGGAAUCCGCUAAGGAGUGUGCAACGACUCACCUGCCGAAGCGACCAGCCCUGAAAAUGGAUGGCUCUGAAGCGUUUUGCCUAUACACUACCGUUACCGGCAAUCGGCGCGUGCGUGUCAAAGCGCACGCGUAUUAUGCCGUAACGAGUAGGACGUGCGCGGCGGAGUGCGCAGAAGGGUCUGGGCGUGAGCCCGCCUGGAGCCUCCGUCGGUGCAGAUCUUGGUGGUAGUAGCAAAUACUCCAGCGAGGCCCUGGAGGACUGACGUGGAGAAGGGUUUCGCGUGAACAGUAGUUGCCCGCGAGUCAGUCGAUCCUAAGCUCAAGGAGAGAUCUUAUGUCGAUGCGGCGUGUUUAUAUAUAUUUUGUGUAUAUGAUAAAUAACGUCCUUUGAGCGAAAGGGAAUCCGGUUCCUAUUCCGGAACCCGGCAGCGGAACCGUUUCAAUAAUCGUUCUCUCGUUUCUCAAGCGAGUGUUCGACGGGGUAACCCAAAGUGGCCUGAAGACGCCGCCGAGUGGUCCGGGAAGAGUUUUCUUUUCUGCCUGAGCGUUCGAGUUCCAUGGAAUCCUAUAGAAGGGAGAUAUGGUUCGGAACGCGAAGAGCACCGCGUUUGCGGCGGUGUCCGGAUACUCUCUGCGGACCUUGAAAAUUCAGGUGAGGGAUGUACGUGGAGAUGUCGCGCCGGCUCGUACCCAUAUCCGCAGCAGGUCUCCAAGGUGAAGAGCCUCUAGUCGAUAGAAUAAUGUAGGUAAGGGAAGUCGGCAAAUUGGAUCCGUAACUUCGGAAUAAGGAUUGGCUCUGAGGACCGGGGCGUGUCGGGUUUGGACGGGAAGCGGAUGCGGCCGGUGCCGGGCCUGGUCGAUGCUCGCACGUGUCUCCAUCGCAAGGUGGUCUCGCGCGUCGUGCUGAAUCCGGACCCACGUUCCGGCCUUCCGCGGAUCUUCCUAGCCGUAAGUCCGCGUCGGUUUCGUCUCUUGGCGUAUCGGCACGGUACUGUACGACCGCCGUUCAACGGUCAGCUCAGAACUGGCUCGGACAAGGGAAAUCCGACUGUCUAAUUAAAACAAAGCAUUGCGAUGGCCCUCGCGGGUGUUGACGCAAUGUGACUUCUGCCCAGUGCUCUGAAUGUCAACGUGAAGAAAUUCAAGCAAGCGCGGGU